GUUGAAGAACGUAGCGAAAUGCGAUACUUGGUGUGAAUUGCAGAAUCCCGUGAACCAUCGAGUCUUUGAACGCAAGUUGCGCCCGAAGCCACUAGGCCGAGGGCACGCCUGCCUGGGCGUCACACGCCGUUGACCCCCCAUCUACUCCUUCGGGAUUGCGGGGGGGCGGAUGAUGGCCUCCCGUGCGCCUAGCCGCGCGGUUGGCAUAAAUACCAAGUCCUCGGCGACGCACGCCACGACAAUCGGUGGUUGCGAAACCUCGGUUGCCCGUCGUGUGCGUUCGUCGCGCAUCGAGGGCUCGAAAAAAUGCUCGGCUCCGGCUGGGCUUUCAACGCGACCCCAGGUCAGGCGGGGUUACCCGCUGAAUUUAAGCAUAUCAAUAAGCGGAGGA
Molecule: unclassified non-coding RNA, 391 nt
Filed under: soil metagenome
Description: partial contains 5.8S ribosomal RNA, internal transcribed spacer 2, and large subunit ribosomal RNA
Rfam family: 5.8S ribosomal RNA (bases 1-122)
Source: RNAcentral